This is a long non-coding RNA of Gadus morhua (Atlantic cod), 2735 nucleotides long. RefSeq lists it as uncharacterized. The record is from RefSeq and is a predicted model, not a curated record. The transcript is spliced from 4 exons. Lineage: Eukaryota; Metazoa; Chordata; Actinopteri; Gadiformes; Gadidae.
UCAAUCAUUGUUUUCGCGAUCUACUAGGCCUACUUAUUUCCAACAGUAGAUGGCGCUGUAUCAAUAGUACAAGGCCCACCAGAAUAUCUAGGAUGGUCUUACAUCAACCACAAUCACACUGACAGACAUAUGUUAGGUGCGCUCUAAAUUGAGAAAAGUUGUAAACAGCGUUUAAUCCAAAAUUCAAAGUUCAUUUGUCCAAUGGGCAGUUCAACGCAUACCUCAAAUCGACCGAGAACUUGGCAAUUGUACAUGUUUAACUUGGUCGGGCCCACAGCUGUGAGGCAGCGUUCAACAUGACCAACCAAAUAUAGCUAUCCUGGCAGGACAAGAUAAGCUCCCUGAAUCAGAGAAAGUGUUGGGAGUGGAACUAAAGGGGUAAAGAAAGAGAGAAAUUUGGCUUCUAAGCUGUAGCAUUUCUGUUGCGAUGGCUGACUGAAGAAUUUAUGAAUUAGGACUGUUAAGAUGUACAAUUUUAGAUGCACAUUUUUCAAAAGCUCUGGCUAGGCUCUGUUAUGCAUUUUUGUAUGCAUAUUUUACUUGAAAUGACAACAUUUAUUUUGCAUUAGAGCGCUUAUUAUUUAUAGUCCCUCCGGUUCAAUGUGAAAAGCAUGACGACAAGUAUUGCUGAAAUAUAAAUGAAUUGUACUUUCUUUAUAUUAUUUCAUUCAGCUGUUAUAUGCACUCUAACUAGGCUACUUUAAUAUACACGGCAAUGAAGAAUAACGCAUUCUAGGCAUGAGGAUGUCCCAGACCUUUGCGCGACAAAGAAUAUUCUCUAACUGGGACCUCUUUGAGUUGUUACUGAAUACUCAUGCCAUGAUGCCAGAUCCAAAUAUAUCAUGGCUUGUCUGAGCUAGUUUGAAACCUUUGACUCUUGGUGUAUCACUAAAUUGUAAUCAAGAUAUUUUGCCUCAUAUGCAAAUGGUAAACAAUGGAUGAAUACACAUGCAAGAUUGCCAGAGUCACCCUUUAUACACAAUAAUGACUGCAAUAAUGCAAGGGCCGGUGGGGAAGUCAGCAAAACUGUUCAUGCUCGCUAUUUUCACUUUUAUUUUUAUAAUUUAUUCUAUAUAAAUAUGUAUGUUUCAACAUGUAGAGCUCAUAUCCUCUAAAACUCAAACAACUACUCUCUAACUUUCCAUUAAUCUAAGGGAAAUCAUGGUUGCUGUGGGGAUUAUCACGCUUCCGGGCGGGAUUUGUUUUCAUUUUGCAUUAACACUUCCGGCGCAGUUCAACAAUGGCUGAAACAAAGGCUAGAUGUCACUGCUCUGUUCCACUUUGUACAUCUAACAAACAACGCCAACCCUACUUAAGUUUUCAUGGAUUCCCGACUGAAUUGACUCUAAGGAAGAAGUGGAUUCAAGCGGUUUGCCGGGAUGAAGGGCCAAACUUUAAAAUCAAACAAGGUAGCACGUUUGUUUGUAGCCGGCACUUUAGUGAAUCAGACUACACUAACGCUACAGCUAGCAGGCUAGCAACCAACCGGGGUCACAUCCAGCGACUGAAAAUCGGGUCUGUACCCUCCCGUUUCCAGUGGAACAACUGGGGACUGCCAAGAAGGGAGUCCGUUUAUAAAAGAGCAUCAACUCGCUUAGGCCAUGACGUUCACCCAGCCCUUCCUCUGGAGCAACCGCUGCCGUGUGAAUAAGAGCCGACGGAGGAGAUCGCAGCUUCGGUGGUGAUGACAGAACAUGAUUUCGGUUCUGCUCCUAAAGCAGGUAUACUGGAUGCUGCUGCUGCACGCAUACAGCAAUUGGAAGAAACAGUCAAGGGGCUGACGAGAGCUGUCACAGCUGAAAGCCUGCAAGAGAAGGUGCUGGCUGACAUGUUUCAGGUCAGUGUUUCCACUGUCUCCCGUGUUGUUAUAAUGUGGGCCAACUACCGUUACCUGCUCCUUGUCGAGAACACCAUGCCAAGCAAAUUUGUGCAGUACAGUCGAGAUGUUCGGGUAAUCAUCGACUGCACCGAGGUGCGAUGCCAGAAUCCAUCAUCCCUCACCCUCCAGUCUGAGGUUUUUCUCAUUUUACAAGAACACGACAACCUUAAAGGCCUUGAUUGGGAUUGCCCCUUGUAGUGCUGUGACUUUUGGUUCAAGUCUCUUCACCGGCUCCAUCUCUGACCGAGAGCUGACUGAACGAAGUGGACUGCUGGAUUUACCGGAGCCAGGAGAUGGCUGCAUGGCAGACAAGGGUUUCACCAUCGAGAAGCCACUAGCUGAUCGUGGGGCAACGCUGAUUAUACCACCCUUCAAGAUGACAGUUCAUCAAAGAGGAUUCUCUGAAAACACAAGCAAUCGACCCGACUUCGAAUCCUCGUGGAAAGAGCAAUACGCAGAGUCGAGGAAUACCGCAUCUGGGAACGCACUGUCCUCUCACCUUGUCUGGGACAGUCAACCAGCUGUGGACCGUCUGCUGUGUGAUGACCAACUUCCAGGGACCACUUGAUUUAAAAGGCUACAUCCCUGUGGAAUAGUGUUUCUAGUCAAACAUAUACCUAUAAAUAUAAUAUAUAAAUAUUAAAAUGAGAGACAAUGAACAUUUGGAGUGGUCCCUUCAUUUUUUCGGAGCUGUAAUUCUUUAUACUGAAAACAUUGUAUAUAUUGAAUGACAUGUAUAUAAUUGAAUGAGAAGUCUUUCAUCUAUAAUCAAUUUUAAAGUCAAGUCAGUCCAUCCUGAAAGUAUUCAAAAUAAUGUUAAUAUGUAAUGUAGUAAAUGAUGUACUCAGUUCCUUUA